Molecule: ribosomal RNA, 1468 nt
Filed under: metagenome
Description: bacterial SSU rRNA
Rfam family: Bacterial small subunit ribosomal RNA
Source: RNAcentral
AGAGUUUGAUCCUGGCUCAGGAUGAACGCUAGCGGCAGGCUUAACACAUGCAAGUCGAGGGGCAGCGCGGGAUAGCAAUAUCCUGGCGGCGACCGGCGGAAGGGUGCGUAACGCGUGAGCGACAUGCCCGUUGCCCGGGGACAACCGGUGGAAACGCCGACUAAUCCCCGAUGGGAUACGAUGCUUCAUGGCAUUGUAUUGAAAGUUACGGCGGCGACGGAUUGGCUCGCGUCCGAUUAGCUUGUUGGCGGGGUAACGGCCCACCAAGGCUACGAUCGGUAGGGGGACUGAGAGGUUGAACGGCCACAUUGGGACUGAGACACGGCCCAGACUCCUACGGGAGGCAGCAGUGGGGAAUAUUGCACAAUGGGGGAAACCCUGAUGCAGCGACGCCGCGUGGAGGAAGAAGGUCUUCGGAUUGUAAACUCCUGUUGUUGAGGAAGAUAAUGACGGUACUCAACAAGGAAGUGACGGCUAACUACGUGCCAGCAGCCGCGGUAAAACGUAGGUCACAAGCGUUGUCCGGAAUUACUGGGUGUAAAGGGAGCGCAGGCGGGAAAACAAGUUGGAAGUGAAAUCCAUGGGCUCAACCCAUGAACUGCUUUCAAAACUGUUUUUCUUGAGUAGUGCAGAGGUAGGCGGAAUUCCCGGUGUAGCGGUGGAAUGCGUAGAUAUCGGGAGGAACACCAGUGGCGAAGGCGGCCUACUGGGCACCAACUGACGCUGAGGCUCGAAAGUGUGGGUAGCAAACAGGAUUAGAUACCCUGGUAGUCCACACUGUAAACGAUGAUUACUAGGUGUUGGAGGAUUGACCCCUUCAGUGCCGCAGUUAACACAAUAAGUAAUCCACCUGGGGAGUACGACCGCAAGGUUGAAACUCAAAGGAAUUGACGGGGGCCCGCACAAGCAGUGGAGUAUGUGGUUUAAUUCGACGCAACGCGAAGAACCUUACCAAGUCUUGACAUCCUGCGACGGUGCUGGAAACAGUACUUUCCUUCGGGACGCAGAGACAGGUGGUGCAUGGUUGUCGUCAGCUCGUGUCGUGAGAUGUUGGGUUAAGUCCCGCAACGAGCGCAACCCUUAUGGUCAGUUACUACGCAAGAGGACUCUGGCCAGACUGCCGUUGACAAAACGGAGGAAGGUGGGGAUGACGUCAAAUCAUCAUGCCCUUUAUGACUUGGGCUACACACGUACUACAAUGGCGUUAAACAAAGAGAAGCAAGACCGCGAGGUGGAGCAAAACUCAGAAACAACGUCCCAGUUCGGACUGCAGGCUGCAACUCGCCUGCACGAAGUCGGAAUUGCUAGUAAUCGCAGAUCAGCAUGCUGCGGUGAAUACGUUCCCGGGCCUUGUACACACCGCCCGUCACACCAUGAGAGCCGGGGGGACCCGAAGUCGGUAGUCUAACCGCAAGGAGGACGCCGCCGAAGGUAAAACUGGUGAUUGGGGUGAAGUCGUAACAAGGUA